UACGGAGGAGGCAAGCGUUAUCCGGAAUUAUUGGGCGUAAAGCGUCCGCAGGUGGCGAUUCAAGUCUGCGGUCAAAGACUGGGGCUUAACCCUGGAAAGGCCGUGGAAACUGAAUAGCUAGAGUGCAGUAGGGGUAGAGGGAAUUCCCGGUGUAGCGGUGAAAUGCGUAGAGCUCGGGAAGAACAUCGGUGGCGAAAGCGCUCUGCUGGACUGCAACUGACACUCAGGGACGAAAGCUAGGGGAGCGAACAGG
Molecule: ribosomal RNA, 253 nt
Filed under: uncultured bacterium
Lineage: Bacteria
Description: partial 16S ribosomal RNA
Rfam family: Bacterial small subunit ribosomal RNA
Source: RNAcentral